CAUGUAUGUUAGCGUUCAGAACAACAUAGACAAACAUUUCUUUUCUUUUGUUUCUCUUGUUUACAGCUAAAUCUGAAAUGGUAUUAAACAUUGUUUCAUGGCUGGAGGUCAUCAUUGCCUUUUUGAUUGGGGUACUUCUUUCAACAGUCCUUUGCUGUUUGGCAAAAAAAUGCCACAGAAAAAAACAAAAGAGCUUUGGAAAUCUGGAUGAGACUCUAGAGAUGGUGACCAGUCAAGAGGUUCCACUGAUAGCUGCUGAUCAAGCAGUGGAAGAUGAUCAGACCUACUACCAAGAGGCAUCUGAAGGAGAAGAAGAAGCUGUGGCAGAAGAGCAAGCAGAUCAAGCAACCCCUGAUCUCAAUGGUGGACCUCAAGAUGUGGAGUACGCCAGCAUUGAUUUCUCCUUGUUGAAAACAAAGAAUCCCAGGACGGCAGCAAAGAACCAAGAGACCACGGAGACAGAGUACGCUGAAAUUAAGAAAGAAGUUAAAGAGGAAAUAGAAGACAAUGGCGGAGAGGAAGGUGAUGUGUUGGAAGGCAAAGAUGAAGAGGCGAUGAUCGGGGAUGAUGAGGAGAUAGAACAGUUUGUUGCUAAAGAGGAGGAAGGGGAGGACAUGGCUGUGUACUCCAAUGUGAAGGAUAUUAUGGGUGAGAUUUGAGGACGCUUGCAUCAAGUCUCUUUGCUCUCAUCAGUUGUGAUGGAUUGAUCUAAUGGACUGAUGAUGGAUUGUUAUUGCGACAAAUCAAGGACCUGUAAGCGGUUUCUACCACAGCGGUGUGAUAUUAAAAUGCCAAAUUCAGCCUGUGGUAACUGGAAGUAACCAAGACACUUCACUCCUCUACCUGUUAGGGGCUGUGCAAAUCCAUUCAUUCAACUAAGGGUGCACUGAAAGUUAGACAGAAUUUUUAGAAAGUGUUAUUGUGUUAACUUUUCAUCAACUUUCCAGAUAAGUUUACCUGCAUCCUCUCUGCUCUGAGAGCCGAAGUGUUUGUUAGUUAUUAUUUAAUGAAGAUAAUUAUGUGCCUUAAGUGUCCCCGUGGUCAGUCCAAAUCCCUUCUGAAUGGAGAGAAGAGGUGUCUCUUUUUUUAGCGUGGCUCAAGAGAUGGUAACGUUGGUCUUGUCUGCUUGGCGUUGUGUCGGACCACUUUGGUUUAGAGUGAAAUAUCACAACAACUAUUGGAUGGAUUCCCAUUAUAAGUUGUACUGAAAUUCAUGUUCCCCAGAGGAUGUAUUCCAAUUACUUUAUUCAUAUUGUGACUUUUCCUGUAGCUCUGUCACCAGGCUUGCAUGUGGUUUUAAGUUAAAUGUCUAAGCAACUAUUGGAUGGAUUGCCUUGACAUCUGUAGGCUGUAGUCUCUUAGUCUUGUUUCAUUUUCAUUGAGAGCGUCUGCAGCACAAAGGAUAUAUUGACAUUUUUUCAAGUCUAUCUCAAUAUAGUACUCACAUGCACAUAUGUAUAUCGAAAGAGUUAGAUCCCUUCAUAAAGAUUUUCCAAUGUGAAAGAAGGACAAAAUCUACAGCCCAAAAUGCAUUCCAAAUAUCAACCAAAACUAAUAUAAGGCUUUAGUAGAACUGAGUUAGACAAAUAAAGUGUGUCUUCUUAAUUGCAGACAUUUUGAUCUACAUAUGGGGAUGUUAGUAUUGUUUCAAGACAGACUCAAAAAAUAUGGUCUCCUUAAAACUGGGGUGGUUUAUUUUUUAUGUAAAAUCUUAAGGAUUGUUAAAUUACAAAUUACAGGUCGGUAUGCCGUCUUUAGUUUUUUAUUUGAUCUGCUUUUUUAAACCGAUAAAACGCUUGGCCUGAUUUGUCUCUAUAGCCCUGUUAGUGUUCUUGUUUAAGAAGUCAUAUAUUACUUCCCUUUUUUAUUGUGUUAAAGGAAUUAACUUGACUCACAGUACUAAGAGUGAGCAUUAUCUGGCACAUCAUUUUAACCGAAAGCCCACUUGCUUAUAUUUAGGAUGAAAUCAUUGAAUUGUCAGUUAGAACAAAGCCUUUCAUACUUUUAGUACACAUUGCAAUGUUUUCAGGUUCUAUAUUAAGUGUUCAAUAUGCAGGCAUAAAGUAACUGAUAAGGACAAAAUUGUUGCCAGUUCCUUGCUAAAAACAGUUAUACUAUUGCACCUAACGUGUCAACGGGAAGUUAUUAGAGAACACAGUGAUGCCUUAUAAGGCGAUAUUUAAAUGAAUAAUGACUUCUACUAAUCUUUUCUGAGAACACAACUUAAAGAUGCUGCACAAUAAACCAUUAAACCAAAACAAACAUAAUGUUACAAAUAUAGACGUGCUUUCAAAAAGGCUGCAUGCUGUUUGAAUUAAGAUCUAUGAUUUAGAGAAAAUGCUUUUCAUGCAGGUAUUUAAUACACUUAAACAAUGACUGGAGUUGUCUUUUUUUCAUACAUGAAUAAACUAAUGAUUAAAAUAAUGACUCGCUUUGUCAACUGGCCAGAUAUUAACCAGUUAUACAGACCACUCACAUGCACACACCUUUCACUAUGCACAUCAUGUAUUAUGCAUUACAAUGUAGAACGAUCUGAUUUCUGAUUCUGAUUCUGAUUCUGAUUGUUGGUUUGUUAAGAUGACAACAUUUUCUAAAUGCACACACAUAUGGUACUUCCCACAAAUUCCUCGUAUGUGCAACGUACUUGGCAAUAAAGCCC
Long non-coding RNA from Sander lucioperca (pikeperch), 2659 nucleotides. NCBI's taxonomy places the organism in Eukaryota, Metazoa, Chordata, Actinopteri, Perciformes, Percidae. The record is from Ensembl.